Molecule: RNA transcript, 6625 nt
Organism: Eleginops maclovinus (Patagonian blennie)
Lineage: Eukaryota; Metazoa; Chordata; Actinopteri; Perciformes; Eleginopidae
Gene: kdm2bb
Gene name: lysine (K)-specific demethylase 2Bb
Exons: 21
Source: RefSeq, a predicted model, not a curated record
CGGUGACGUAACACACAAAAACAUGGUUCCCUUGUUUUGAACCUGAAAACGCGUGCUAAGUGUUUCUCUAACUUCACUACGCAUGAAGAAGAUGCAUUUCCGAAACCGAGUGACUGGAACACACUGAUAGGAGAAUAUGGCCCAGGCCGUGGAAACGUGUGCUGAAUCCGGACGCAGGCUGCGCUCCAUCUGCCGGAGGAUGUACGACGAAAACGAGGAUCUAUCCGAUGUUGAAGAAAUUGCAAACAUCAGAGGUUUCAGUGUGGAGGAAAAGCUUGUCAGUGACAGUUACAGUGCGACAUUUGUGCACUGCAUGGAGGGUAAAGACUUCUCUUAUGAAUAUGUGCAAAAGGACGCUCUCAGGACCCCACUCAUUUUUAAAGAGAAAGAUGGGCUUGGGAUCAGAAUGCCUGAUCCAGAAUUUACAGUCAGUGAAAUUAAAGGAUUAGUUGGCAGUCGGCGCUCUGUGGAUGUGAUGGAUGUGAGCACUCAGAAAGGCUCUGAGAUGAGCAUGGCUCAGUUUGUACGUUAUUAUGAGACACCAGAGGAAGAGCGGGACAAACUCUUCAACGUCAUCAGCUUAGAGUUCAGUCAUACUAAGCUGGAGAACCUCAUCAAGCGGCCCACAGUGGUUGAUCAAGUGGACUGGGUGGACAACAUGUGGCCUCCUGAUCUGAAACAAAGCCAAACAGAAGCAACCAAUGUAAUCUCAGACAUGAAGUACCCUAAAGUGCAAAGGUAUUGUUUGAUGAGUGUCAAGGGCUGCUACACAGACUUCCACAUUGAUUUCGGGGGAACCUCUGUUUGGUAUCAUGUAUUCAAAGGACAAAAAGUCUUUUGGCUAGUGCCUCCGACCCCUCAUAAUCUUGCCCUUUAUGAGGACUGGGUUCUGUCAGGCAAGCAGAGCGAUAUCUUCCUGGGAGACCGAGCUGACGGAUGCCAGCGAGUGGAGCUUAAGCAAGGAUACACCUUCUUCAUCCCAUCUGGGUGGAUCCAUGCUGUCUACACUCCAGAGGACACGCUGGUGUUUGGAGGCAAUAUUCUGCACAGCUUCAACAUUCCUAUGCAGCUUACCAUCCAUGAGAUAGAGAAUAGGACUAAGGUUAAUUCGAAGUUCCGUUUCCCCUUCUACAAUGAGAUGUGCUGGUAUGUCCUGGAGAGAUACCUGCACUGCCUCACAACACGUUCCUAUUUAUCUCGGGAUGUCCGCAAAGAGCCUGUACUAACGGAUAAUGAGACAAAGGCCAACACAGAAAGCCCCUCCUCUGACUCAAGAAUCCAGGACCUGAACGAGGACUCAUGUGAGACUCAGGUCAGGGAUGGUCAGGGUGAGAAACCAGAGAGAGGCGCUCAGGACGGACCCAGCUCUCCUGACAACCGGAGGGGCCAGCACCUCAAAGCCGUUUUAUCUGUGGACUCUGAGGACAGCUGUAAUCCCGGCUCCACCUCUCUAGAGUUCCCCCAAACCCCCUCAGACUCCCCAGCCUCGGAGUCUGUGAAUAAAUGGACGCAUUUGACAGAGUUUGAACUGAGCGGACUCAGGAAACUGGUUGAGAAGCUGGAGUCACUCCCUGAAAAUAAGAAAUGUGUUCCAGAGGGAAUAGAGAACCCACAAGCCCUGCUGGAAGACAUGAAGGUUCUCUUAAAAGAACAUGCCGAUGACGACCUAAAAUUAGCGAUCACUGGGGUUCCUGUGGUGUCCUGGCCCAAGAAAACCAUAAAGCCCCGGCCUCCCAACCGGCCGAAACCUAAGAUGGCAACUUCUCCUGCAUCAGCAGUCAAGCUGUCAGCGAGUCGGGGAACAUCUGGCGCCAGGAGGAGGCGGACGCGCUGCCGGAAGUGUGAGGCAUGCCUGCGGACGGAGUGUGGAGAGUGCCACUUCUGUAAAGACAUGAAGAAGUUUGGUGGGCCGGGCCGCAUGAAACAGUCCUGCAUCAUGAGGCAGUGCAUAGCACCUGUCCUGCCCCACACGGCUGUGUGUCUCGUCUGUGGAGAGGCAGGGAAAGAGGACACAGUGGAGGAAGAGGAGGAGAAGUUUAACCUCAUGCUCAUGGAGUGCUCCAUCUGCAAUGAGAUUGUUCAUCCUAACUGUCUUAAGGUAAAAGAUUCAAACGGAGUAGUCAAUGAUGAAUUGCCAAACUGCUGGGAGUGCCCAAAGUGCAACCAUGCAGGGAAAACAGGGAAAGCCUCAAAGCAAAAAAGGGGGCCAGGAUUUAAGUACGCAUCCAACCUUCCUGGCUCGCUCCUGAAAGAGCCGCGUUUGAACCGGGAUUCAAGAGACGAGCCUGACUCGCCAAUGGUGGCUACAGCAACUGUGACUGCUCUGACUGCCACAUCUGCUCUUAAAAGAAAGGCAGAGCGGGAGGAAGUCCCUAAGAGGAAAGAGGACGAGCCACUGAAGAAACGCCCACCCUUGCUGUCUCUGGAUGGUACGCCCCGGCCAAGGAUUGAGGACAACCCACUGAGGAAAAAGAGGAAACUUUUUGAUACAAAUGAUGAACCUGUGAUUGUAAAAAAGAAGAAGAAACUUUCAAAACCAGAUGACCCUCUGACUCCGAAGCGGCACAUCAAGACCGAGAACGAUCAUGACGAGGAAGAUGAUGACCAGGAGGAUCCCGAAGGAGAUCGAUUUUCUUUGGAAAGGAUUAAGUUAAAGGGGAAAAAAGAGUAUGAUGACGAGGACCAAGAAGAAGAUGAGGAGGGAGAGGAGCCGGUGAAAAAAGAAAGAGACCGCAGUGCAGAGGACAAAGCCAAAUUCCUGUUAAGUCCCCUGCUAAGAACAUCUGCGAUCAGAGAAAGUGAACAAACCUCAAACUCUCCCAGAGCGGGACCAAGCAGCGACUCAGGAGACGCUCAGCUGAAAGCUCGCCAUCAGCGACGACGGCUCCCCAACAAGGAGCUGAGCAAAGAGUUUAAACCGGAGACUCCCAAGGCAGCAGACCAGAACCACGGCUCGGUGAAGACAGAGGACAGCUCAGCCAUUCACAACAGACGACAACUCAAGAAAGAGGACUCAAUGACCAAUCAGAAUCGCAAACCCUUAAAAACAGAGGACUUAACCACUAAUCAGAGCCGCAGGGCCCUUAAAACUGAGGAGGGUUUGACCAAUCAAAACAGACGGCCACUGAAAACCGAGGACAGUCUGGCCAAUCAAAACCACAGGCCUGUAAAAACCGAGCCUGAGAACGAGGUGGAUGAGCAAAAGCCGAGAUGGCCUCUUAAUAAUGGCGGCAGUGAUCUGGGCGACUGGCUGCGACACAGGGGGCGAGAGCCGAAUGAUACGACGCGAGGUUACUCGCCGCUCGGCUGGAACAGGGGCACCCAGAUCACUCCGAUAUGCCCCCGCCCACUCCCCUGCAGGUCCCCGCCGAAAUGCAUCCAAAUGGAGCGCCAUGUGAUCCGUCCUCCUCCCAUUAGCCCCCCGCCGGACAGACUCUCGCUGAACGACGGAGAAACACACGUGAUGCGCAGAGAGAUGUGGAUGACAGUUUUCAGUCAUUUGACUCACAGAGAUCUUUGCGUGUGCAUGCGUGUCUGCAGGACGUGGAACAGAUGGUGCUGUGACAAGAGGCUCUGGAAGCACAUCAAUCUGAACAGGUGUAAGUCCAUCACUCCUCUCAUGCUGAGCGGGAUCAUCCGCAGGCAGCCGGUGGCUCUGGACCUGAGCUGGACCAACAUCUCCAAAAAACAACUUAGUUGGCUCAUCAACAGACUGCCAGGUCUGCGGGUGCUGCUGCUGUCAGGUUGCUCCUGGGUGGCGGUCUCUGCUCUCUGCACCUCAAGCUGUCCUCUCCUGCGGACUCUGGAUGUUCAGUGGGUCGAAGGACUGAAAGACGCCCAGAUGAGGGACCUGCUGUCUCCUCCUACAGAUAACAGGCCAGGUCAGUUGGACAACAGGAGCAAGCUGCGUAACGUCGAGGACCUGCGGCUGGCCGGCCUGGACAUCACGGACACCUCUCUGCGCCUCCUCAUACGCUACAUGCCCUCGCUGUCCAAGCUGGACCUGAGCUACUGCAACCAUGUCACGGACCAGUCAGUCAACAUCCUGACUGCGGCAGGAACAACCACAAGAGACUCGCUCACUGACAUCAACCUGUCAGGUAGGAGCCUGUCUUUGUUGGCUGUAAGUCCGCCUGCAUUUGACUUGCUCCCCCUAGUGGCUAAAUUCAACAUUCCUAAUUGAUGUCACGGUGGAUAAUGGAUCCGUUAAAUUCAGACAUCAAUUCCAUAGAUGUAAUUGGAACGUUUUCUCUCUAAGUCUGUAACAGAGUCACUGACCAGUCACUGACCUACUUCAAGCGCUGUGGGAGCGUCUGUCACAUCGACCUGCGAUACUGCAAACAGGUGACCAAGGAAGGCUGUGACCAGUUCAUCGCAGAAAUGUCCGUCAGUGUGCAGUUUGAACUGAUAGAAGAGAAACUGCUGCAAAAGAUCAGCUAGGAGCAGACUGUGUGACAUUUACGAAGUGAAACUACUGUCCACAUGGAGGCAGCAGAUGACUGGAGAACCACGCUGUGUUUCCUCAACAUAUGCAGACGACUGAACAGACACCAGAACGCGUCUGUCUGUCACUGUGGAACGAAGAAAAAGGGAAGCUGUGCUGCUAAGCCCGAAUGUAAAAAAAGGAAAUCUUGUCGUGUUAAGGCAAUAUCGCAAAAAUGUUUUUGUUGUUGUUUGCACCUGUUUCCAAAUUAUUUAUUUCUUUAUAUGUUAAUUGUUUAUGUAUUGUAUCAUGACUAUCUUUUGGUGUUUAUAGAUUGUUUUUGUUCAAAUGCAAAGUUUGUUGCAUUACAGUAAUAUUUUUGUAUCAGAAAGUGUUUCAUACAUUUAUGUGCAGUAUUUAUUGCACCACUGUACAGUAUCAUACCGUUGGAAUUGAUAAUCAAUAGGCAUUACUGUUACGCUCUUCAUUGUUGAGAGGCAAAGGUCCAGUUAUAUGUUGCCAAACUGUAGGAUGGUAGCUUGUGUUUGUAUUUUUUAUAUUUCAUUAUGUUCCCUGUUUCUGAACGGACUAAGGUACUGUACAUUUUGUUUUCCGUAUAAGGAUACCAUUUGCACUGAUACAGUAAAUACGAAUACAUGAAUGUUUUCACACAUACACUAUAAAGUGUACAAAGCAUAUUUUUUCAACAAUGUCUGGCUAUUUCUGCUAACAGCUUCUAGUUAUCGGGGUUAUAUUAACACAAACAAACGUCUCUGCCAGUCUACAUCACUCUUGAGUAUUACCGGUGCUUUGUGAAAGGAAGCGCUUUAUCUCUGCAUGCAGCAAUAUGUUUACACCACAGUCAAUAGAUUCAGUACCUGUAACAAUAUAAUCAUCUUUCCUCCAGUCAUCAGCCGAACUACAUAUAAUUAAAAAAGCGUCUCAGUGCUGAAUUAUUCAGGAAAUAAAUAUAGAACAAAGUCCAGGAAAAUAUAUUACAUUUACAUAAAUCUUAUAGAAGAGACAUGUUUCUCCUAUUUGUCAAAAGUGGUUUUAGUGAAGAAAGUUCCCCUGACUGCACACAUUUGAUUACAGCAAAGGGAGCAGAAUACUGUUCUUUUCAAAAGGACAUGUCUUAUUUAGAAGAUGUAAAGCAGUUAUCGAUAAAUCAUUCCAGUGAGCCAUCCACCUCCGAACAGUUUCUGACAUGAGAUUAAGAAAUUCUGUUAUAAAACCAAAAGCACUGUAUUUCUUUUUGUCCUAUGAGACAGGAUCAUGGCCCAAUGCCAUUCAGUAUUUGCCAUUUGAAGAAACUGAAAAUUAAAACUUAUUUCAUAAAAGAUUUGUGCAAAUGUAAAAAGUAAAAUAGGAUUUUGUUGUUUUAUUUGGCAGAUUCCAUUUUUUUUCAGAGGUUGGGUUUACAUUUACAUUAUAUCUGUUUAUUUUGUUUACUUAACCACUGUGUCUCCAUGCAAAUAUUAGUACAUUACUGUAAAUCUGUACAUAAUGUACAUGUAAAGCCUCUAGGAAAAGUUAAGACAACAUUUGAGAUAUUAAAUUCAAUUUAAAUACUGAGCUAUGUGCAUUUGAAGCCUUUUGUUUAAAGGGACCCUAUUAGGCUUUUGGGGGGUUUCCCCUUUCCUGUAGCGGGUUUUAUAGGUUUUUGUGCAUGUGAAUUUAUGUCUACAAUGUCCUUUGUUUACUUCCAUAAUGUAGUGACAUCACUACAUAACACUAGCGCUUCUAUUAGCUAGCGCGUCCCCAUAUUGUACGUGAUAGGCUAAGGGGCGGGACAUCCCUAAGCAGUUGACCAAUCACAACAGAGCCGGCCACCUGACCAAUCAUCUUCUGGUUUCAGACAGGCUGAAAAGAGGUGCUGCAGCACAGGCAGUAUGAGAAAAAUAAAGCAUGUAAACAUGUCACAGUAGAGGCACAAAAUACAAAUAUAAAACCUGAAAAUCAGCAAAAUACUAAUUUAAGAAAGACACAUAAUGAUAUACUGAAACACUGCUGCUAUCAGAUCUGUAUUCAUAUUAUUAACCAAGUGCCAACCAAUAAACUGUAAAAGUGAACAAAAUCCAGCCAUUUACAAAUGAAAAGCAGGGUUUUACGUUCUGAUUUGUAGUACUGCAUUUUAUUGAAUCUAAUAAAUCAUUUUCUCUUGUUUACCAAAAUAAAAAGGUUCAACAUUCCAAAAUAAGA